AUUGAACGCUGGCGGCAUGCCUUACACAUGCAAGUCGAACGGCAGCACGGGAGCAAUCCUGGUGGCGAGUGGCGAACGGGUGAGUAAUAUAUCGGAACGUGCCCAGUCGUGGGGAUAACGUAGCGAAAGCUACGCUAAUACCGCAUACGAUCUAUGGAUGAAAGCGGGGGAUCGCAAGACCUCGCGCGAUUGGAGCGGCCGAUAUCAGAUUAGGUAGUUGGUGAGGUAAAGGCUCACCAAGCCGACGAUCUGUAGCUGGUCUGAGAGGACGACCAGCCACACUGGGACUGAGACACGGCCCAGACUCCUACGGGAGGCAGCAGUGGGGAAUUUUGGACAAUGGGCGCAAGCCUGAUCCAGCAAUGCCGCGUGCAGGAUGAAGGCCUCGGUUGUAACUGCUUUGUUACGUAGAAGAAACAAC
This 421-nucleotide ribosomal RNA is filed under the name uncultured bacterium. Its description in RNAcentral is "bacterial SSU rRNA". It matches the Rfam family "Bacterial small subunit ribosomal RNA", at positions 30 to 454 of the family's 1533-position model. The record is from RNAcentral.